GGCCUCCUGCUUCGGAAGAAGAGGGGGAAGAGGCCGCGCGGGAGGGACUUCUGACACUUGCCACUGUUUUUGUUUUCAAAGAGGGGUACUUAACCGAAACUAGCAAUCCCAGGCGGUACAAGGCCCUCCAUCGUAGGCAAAGCACUACCUGAAUGUAGAUUUGGGGCCAUACGUUGGAAAAUAAGACAUGAGAGUAUGCUCCAAUCAACCUUUACUGUUUACUGGACAACUAUUUUGGGAAUUUGCAGACCUUUAUAGGUUUAUAGCCCAUCUAUAAAUCUCAAGCAUGUCCACUUUCAGAGAAGAGAAAUGCCAACAACCAUUUAGUCUCUGAGGACAACACUUUUAAAGAGCUGUAAAGGUACAUUUCCUCUUCAUGUGUUCUCACUUCCAUCCUUUACUUCGGUGAAAAGACGUUUUCCUUCCGUACACUCAUGAGUCCAAGAGGGAUGAAGGCUUGUGGAAAUUUUGCAGCAGCCUUCCCUGACCAUGGUGGCCUGAAGUGCACCUUUUAUAUAGGACUCCAUCAUAGGACUGGAGAGAGAUUGGAUGUCAGAAUGAUUGAUGUGCUCCUACUGGAAGAAGGCAAACAUCCAUAUGUGAACUGCCUGUGGGGUUUCCAAGGAAAGGAACAGCAGGCAGCCUCUAUGAGCUUGAAGAAGUCCCAGCCAACAGUUAGCAAGAUAACUGGGACUUUAUUCCUAUAACCACAAGGAACAGUAUUCUGAGAAGCUUGGAAGAGGACCCCAAACUCCAAAUAAGAAGCUCAGUGUGUCUGACACCUUGACUGCAGGCUUGGGAAGUCCUGAGCAGAAGAUCCAGUUCAAUAGUGCCUGGACUCCUGACCCACAAAAACUGAUAACAAAUAUUUACUGUUUUAAGAUGCUAAGUUUGUAGUCAUUUUUAUACAGCAACAGAAAACUAAACACACACAUAAACAGUUAUAAGUACUCACUGUAUAUGAGGCUUUUCAUUAAUAAUCUAUAUUUUAUAAUGGAAUUAGAAUAUAGAUCCGUGAAGCUGAAGACAGUCAAUCCUUGCUAGAUUUAAAUCAGGAAAAUCAGCUGAGAAUCGUUCCUUGAUAGAACCUGGAAAACAAGACCCUAUGAGAGACCCUGGGAAUUACAUUAAAUUCACUGUGGUUCCCAGUGUCACUGAAGAGAUUUUCCUUUCAUAUAGUCAGGUAGUCACCAUACUGUUAAGCAUUUCAACACAUGGGCAACUUCCAGAAUGGUUAUGACAUUCAUAUACCAAUCUCCAAAAUUCCUGGAAUACUAUGUUUUCAUGGUUGACUUUCAGAUCAGUCAGUUCUUUGUAACUGAGCCAUAAAGAUGGGACAAAUACUUAAUGUUUUACCUAUAUUCAGAGAUUGACACUCAAAAUACAACCCAGAGAAACUCAAAAGAAUUAACUCUGUAUUUCUUCAAAUUGUGUGACGCCACCAAGGCCAGAUGACUUCAGAAUUGGGAAGGCAAUAUCCAGCUGUCAUCUUCUUGAUCCUCAUAUGCCAGCAUUUACUGAGCAGAUAGUUUUAUUGUCCAGUUUUUAAAGAUGAGAAAAUUGAGGUAUUAGGAAAGUUAAGUUGGUUGCCUAGGGAAACACGAAUGACAGAGCCCAGAUUCACUCCCAGGCAGGCAGAUGCCAGUGUCUGCUCUCUUUACCACCAAAAUAUCCUGCUACAUGUACAAUUUCAAUAAAUAUCUGGACUUACUGGAACAAAACAAA
This 1725-nucleotide non-coding RNA is filed under the name Pongo abelii (Sumatran orangutan). The record is from RNAcentral. Lineage: Eukaryota; Metazoa; Chordata; Mammalia; Primates; Hominidae.